CGUGCCAGCAGCUGUCGAAAAGAAGCCGGAGGGCUGUGUCACGACGGCGUCGGAGUUCCAAGCGUCGUGCUUGACCUACGUCGUUAUACGGCUAGCCCUCCAAUCACUUGAAAAUCAGGGUGUGUUCAUGAACACGCCGCUUCACGAGAGGUACCGCUAUGUUGCCUACCGGCAGUGUGCAUCCUGGCUCUGGGGGCACCUUGGUGAAGGGAACCGUCAUGUGCUGCCAUCAUGUGUUGUGUGGGCAAUUCGGGAAAAGUUCCCUUCAACGUACUACACUGGAUUUAGACCUACACUGUAGAGAUAAAAUUGAUGUACCGUAACUAUUUUCAAUACAUACUUUUGUGGA
Molecule: long non-coding RNA, 349 nt
Organism: Ornithodoros turicata
Lineage: Eukaryota; Metazoa; Arthropoda; Arachnida; Ixodida; Argasidae
Exons: 2
Source: RefSeq, a predicted model, not a curated record